GACGAACGCUGGCGGCGUGCCUAACACAUGCAAGUCGAGCGGGGUUGAAGCGAGAGGUAACUCGAACUUCUACCUAGCGGCGGACGGGUGAGUAACGCGUGGGCAACCUGCCUCAAGGUCUGGGAUAACAGCCCGAAAGGGCUGCUAAUACCGGGUAUGCUUGUGGCCUCGCAUGGGGCUAUGAGCAAAGGGGAAACCCGCCUUGAGAUGGGCCCGCGUCCCAUCAGCUAGUUGGUGAGGUAACAGCUCACCAAGGCGACGACGGGUAGCCGGCCUGAGAGGGUGACCGGCCACACUGGGACUGAGACACGGCCCAGACUCCUACGGGGGGCAGCAGUGGGGGAUCUUGCACAAUGGGCGAAAGCCUGAUGCAGCGACGCCGCGUGAGCGAAGAAGGCCUUCGGGUUGUAAAGCUCUGUCUGGAGGGACGAAGGAAGUAGACGGUACCUCCGGAGGAAGCCACGGCUAACUACGUG
This 476-nucleotide ribosomal RNA is filed under the name uncultured bacterium. RNAcentral describes it as "bacterial SSU rRNA". It matches the Rfam family "Bacterial small subunit ribosomal RNA", at positions 28 to 507 of the family's 1533-position model. The record is from RNAcentral.